This 262-nucleotide long non-coding RNA is filed under the name Olea europaea (common olive). RNAcentral describes it as "long non-coding RNA (OEUR_LNC012900)". The record is from RNAcentral. Lineage: Eukaryota; Viridiplantae; Streptophyta; Magnoliopsida; Lamiales; Oleaceae.
UUGUUUUCGAAAAUAUCUUUUCAAAAAUAAAAAAUCAAAUAAGCUUUUGGAGUUUUAGAAAAUUGAAAAAAAACAAAUCAAAUGCAUUCAUAGCUACAAUGGGUCAGGAAAACGUUGAUUACAUAAUAUUCACCAAGCACUAUAUAGGAUUUGAUUAUUUAGAUAGAUUUUUGAACCAACAAGUUAUGGAGAAAUUGUAAGUACGCAGGAAAACGUUGUUAGACAUGGAUUCUAUUCUGAACAGCAGGAAAAAGUGUUACAU